CCUGAUAGACUGUAUAGUCCUCCUCUUGGUUAGUGACUCCUGAUAGACUGUAUAGUCCUCCUCUUGGUUAGUUUAGUGACUCCUGAUAGACUGUAUAGUCCUCCUCUUGGUUAGUGACUCCUGAUAGACUGUAUAGUCCUCCUCUUGGUUAGUGACUCCUGAUAGACUGUAUAGUCCUCCUCUUGGUUAGUGACUCCUGAUAGACAGUAUAGUCCUCCUCUUGGUUAGUUUAGUGACUCCUGAUAGACUGUAUAGUCCUCCUCUUGGUUAGGUUAGUGACUCCUGAUAGACUGUAUAGUCCUCCUCUUGGUUAGUGACUCCUGAUAGACUGUAUAGUCCUCCUCUUGGUUAGUGACUCCUGAUAGACUGUAUAGUCCUCCUCUUGGUUAGUUUAGUGAC
Molecule: long non-coding RNA, 399 nt
Filed under: Salmo salar (Atlantic salmon)
Lineage: Eukaryota; Metazoa; Chordata; Actinopteri; Salmoniformes; Salmonidae
Description: lncRNA (ENSSSAG00000112470.1)
Source: RNAcentral